Molecule: ribosomal RNA, 2874 nt
Filed under: Noviherbaspirillum aridicola
Lineage: Bacteria; Pseudomonadati; Pseudomonadota; Betaproteobacteria; Burkholderiales; Oxalobacteraceae
Description: 23S ribosomal RNA
Rfam family: Bacterial large subunit ribosomal RNA
Source: RNAcentral
CAAGCGAAUAAGUGCACAUGGUGGAUGCCUUGGCGAUAUCAGGCGAUGAAGGACGUUGUAGCUUGCGAUAAGCUGCGGGGAGUGAGCAAACACACAUUGAUCCGCAGAUUUCCGAAUGGGGAAACCCGGCCUUUUGGGUCAUCGCACUCUGAAUACAUAGGGGUGCGAAGCGAACGCGGCGAACUGAAACAUCUAAGUAGCUGCAGGAAAAGAAAUCAACCGAGAUUCCCAAAGUAGUGGCGAGCGAAAUGGGACCAGCCUGCAAGAUUUAGCAGUAUUGAUAGCAAAACACACUGGAAAUUGUGGCCAUAGCGGGUGAUAGCCCCGUAUGCGAAAUCAGUAUUGUGGAACUAAGCUUGCGACAAGUAGGGCGGGGCACGUGAAACCCUGUCUGAACAUGGGGGGACCAUCCUCCAAGGCUAAAUACUCGAUAUCGACCGAUAGUGAACCAGUACCGUGAGGGAAAGGCGAAAAGAACCCCGGAAGGGGAGUGAAAUAGAUCCUGAAACCGUGUGCAUACAAACAGUCGGAGCCUCGUAAGGGGUGACGGCGUACCUUUUGUAUAAUGGGUCAGCGACUUACAUUCAGUGGCGAGCUUAACCGAAUAGGGAAGGCGUAGCGAAAGCGAGUCCGAACAGGGCGAUUUAGUCGCUGGGUGUAGACCCGAAACCAGAUGAUCUACCCAUGGCCAGGAUGAAGGUGCCGUAACAGGUACUGGAGGUCCGAACCCACUAGUGUUGAAAAACUAGGGGAUGAGCUGUGGGUAGGGGUGAAAGGCUAAACAAAUCUGGAAAUAGCUGGUUCUCUCCGAAAACUAUUUAGGUAGUGCCUCAAGUAUCACCACCGGGGGUAGAGCACUGUUAUGGCUAGGGGGUCAUCGCGACUUACCAAACCAUUGCAAACUCCGAAUACCGGUGAGUGCGAGCUUGGGAGACAGACGUCGGGUGCUAACGUCCGGCGUCAAGAGGGAAACAACCCAGACCGCCAGCUAAGGUCCCCAAGAUUGGCUAAGUGGAAAACGAAGUGGGAAGGCUAAAACAGUCAGGAGGUUGGCUUAGAAGCAGCCAUCCUUUAAAGAAAGCGUAAUAGCUCACUGAUCGAGUCGUCCUGCGCGGAAGAUGUAACGGGGCUAAGCCAGUCACCGAAGCUGCGGAUAUGUGCUUUGCACAUAUGGUAGGAGAGCGUUCUGUAAGCCUGCGAAGGUGUCUUGUAAAGGAUGCUGGAGGUAUCAGAAGUGCGAAUGCUGACAUGAGUAGCGAUAAACAGGGUGAAAGGCCCUGUCGCCGUAAGCCCAAGGUUUCCUGUUCAACGUUCAUCGGAGCAGGGUGAGUCGGCCCCUAAGGCGAGGCAGAGAUGCGUAGCUGAUGGGAAGCAGGUUAAUAUUCCUGCACCGUCGUUAGAUGCGAUGGGGGGACGGAUCGCGGAAGGUUGUCCGGGUGUUGGAUGUCCCGGUCCCUGUGCUGGAGAAGGCGCUUAGGCAAAUCCGGGCGCAUGAUUCAAGGGCAUGGGGCCAGCGGCUUUAAGCUGCGAAGCAAUCGGAAGUGGUUCCAAGAAAAGCCUCUAAGCUUCAGUCUAACGAGACCGUACCGCAAACCGACACAGGUGGGCGAGAUGAGUAUUCUAAGGCGCUUGAGAGAACUCGGGAGAAGGAACUCGGCAAAUUGGUACCGUAACUUCGGGAUAAGGUACGCCCUUGUAGCUUGACUGGCCUGCGCCAGGAGGGUGAAGGGGUUGCAAUAAACUGGUGGCUGCGACUGUUUAAUAAAAACACAGCACUCUGCAAACACGAAAGUGGACGUAUAGGGUGUGACGCCUGCCCGGUGCUGGAAGAUUAAAUGAUGGGGUGCAAGCUCUUGAUUGAAGUCCCAGUAAACGGCGGCCGUAACUAUAACGGUCCUAAGGUAGCGAAAUUCCUUGUCGGGUAAGUUCCGACCUGCACGAAUGGCGUAACGAUGGCCACACUGUCUCCUCCCGAGACUCAGCGAAGUUGAAGUGUUUGUGAUGAUGCAAUCUACCCGCGGCUAGACGGAAAGACCCCAUGAACCUUUACUGUAGCUUUGCAUUGGACUUUGAACCAAUCUGUGUAGGAUAGGUGGGAGGCUUUGAAGCGGUGACGCCAGUUGCCGUGGAGCCAACCUUGAAAUACCACCCUGGUUUGUUUGAGGUUCUAACCUUGGCCCGUUAUCCGGGUCGGGGACAGUGCAUGGUAGGCAGUUUGACUGGGGCGGUCUCCUCCCAAAGUGUAACGGAGGAGUUCGAAGGUACGCUAGGUACGGUCGGACAUCGUGCUAAUAGUGCAAUGGCAUAAGCGUGCUUAACUGCGAGACCGACAAGUCGAGCAGGUACGAAAGUAGGACAUAGUGAUCCGGUGGUUCUGUAUGGAAGGGCCAUCGCUCAACGGAUAAAAGGUACUCUGGGGAUAACAGGCUGAUUCCUCCCAAGAGUUCAUAUCGACGGGGGAGUUUGGCACCUCGAUGUCGGCUCAUCACAUCCUGGGGCUGUAGCCGGUCCCAAGGGUAUGGCUGUUCGCCAUUUAAAGUGGUACGUGAGCUGGGUUUAAAACGUCGUGAGACAGUUUGGUCCCUAUCUGCCGUGGGCGUUGGAAGUUUGAGGGGGGCUGCUCCUAGUACGAGAGGACCGGAGUGGACGAACCUCUGGUGUACCGGUUGUCACGCCAGUGGCAUUGCCGGGUAGCUAAGUUCGGAAGAGAUAACCGCUGAAAGCAUCUAAGCGGGAAACUUGCCUCAAGAUGAGACUUCCCCAGGCCUUGAGCCUGCUAAAGGGUCGUUCGAGACCAGGACGUUGAUAGGUCAGGUGUGGAAGCGCAGUAAUGCGUUAAGCUAACUGAUACUAAUUGCCCGUGCGGCUUGUCCC